Molecule: ribosomal RNA, 245 nt
Filed under: uncultured bacterium
Lineage: Bacteria
Description: partial 16S ribosomal RNA
Rfam family: Bacterial small subunit ribosomal RNA
Source: RNAcentral
UACGUAGGGGGCAAGCGUUGUCCGGAUUUAUUGGGCGUAAAGUGCACGCAGGCGGUUUGGAACGUUUGGGUUUAAAGCUACUGGCUUAACCAGUAGAGAUGCUCGAAAACGGCCAGACUUGAGCGCAAGAGAGGGACACGGAACUCCAGGUGGAGCGGUGAAAUGCGUAGAGAUCUGGAAGAACACCAAUGGCGAAGGCAGUGUCCUGGCUUGCCGCUGACGCUCAGGUGCGAAAGCCAGGGGAG